Molecule: long non-coding RNA, 686 nt
Filed under: Homo sapiens (human)
Lineage: Eukaryota; Metazoa; Chordata; Mammalia; Primates; Hominidae
Description: novel transcript, antisense to MCM3APAS
Source: RNAcentral
UUGAAAUGUUAUUCACAUACCAUAAACUUCACCCAUUUAAAGUGUACAUUUCAGUGAUUUUUAGAUAUAUUCACAGGGUUUUGCAACCAUCACUGUUAAUAAUUCCAGAACACCUUUUCACUUAGAAAGCCUGUAUUCUUUUUUUUUUUUUUAGAUGGAGUCUCACUCUGUCGCCCAGGCUGGCGUGUGGUACACUUUGUUCACUGCAACCUCCACCUCUCAGGUUCAAGCAAUUUUCCUGCCUCAGCCUCCCAAGUAGCUGGGAUUACAGGCGCACACCACCACGCCCAGCUUAGUUUUGUAUAUAUUUUGUAGAGACAGGGUUUUGUGAUGUUGCCCAGGCUGGUCUCAAACUGGGCUCAAGCGAUCCACCUGCCUUGGCCUCCCAAGGUGCUGGGAUUACAGAUCAGCUUCAUAGUAAGAUGUGGUAUUUGUGGACCUAGGUCUGUGUGAUAUUUUUCUUUCUUCUUUUCCUGAAAGUCUUUAUAAUUCAAAUAUAGAAUUAGAUUCUUCAAGUGUUUUUUUUGUUUUUUGUUUUUUUUAAAUCUGUAGAAUUCUAGCAAAUUGGUUAAAAGUCAAGUUCAUGGGAGAUGAAGGCUCAGUGGAUGACACAUCCAGCGAUGCUGGUGGGAUUCAGACGCUUUCGCUUUUCAACUCACUUAGCAGCAAAGGGGAUCAGAUGAUUU